CAAGUCGAGCGAGGACUAUCUAAGUAGCAAUACUCAGGUAGAGCCGAGCGGCGUAAGGGGCAGUAAUACCUGGGGACGUACCCCUCAGUCGGGAAUAGCCGCGGGAAACCGCGGGUAAUGCCCGAUAACACUGAGAAGUCAAAGGCUUGCCGCUGAGGGAGCGGCCCAGGCGCUAUUAGCUGGUUGGUGGGGUAACGGCCUACCAAGGCGAAGAUGGCUAGCGGGUGUGAGAGCACGACCCGCGCCACUGGCACUGAGACACUGGCCAGACACCUACGGGUGGCUGCAGUCGAGGAUCUUCGGCAAUGAGCGCAAGCUUGACCGAGCGACGCCGCGUGCGGGAUGAAGGCCUUCGGGUUGUAAACCGCUUUGGUCCGAGAGUAAGGUAGAGCAAUCUACUUGAACAAUCGGAGAAACAAGCACGGGCUAAGUUCGUGCCAGCAGCCGCGGUAAGACGAACCGUGCGAACGUUGUUCGGAAUCACUGGGCUUAAAGGGCGCGUAGGCGGCCGGGUUGGUCGUGGGUGAAAUCCCCCAGCUUAACUGGGGAAUUGCCUACGAUACUGCCAUGGCUCGAGGGAGGAAGGGGCGGCCGGAACUGUCGGUGGAGCGGUGAAAUGCGUUGAGAUCGACAGGAACGCCGGUGGCGAAAGCGGGCCGCUGGCCCUCUUCUGACGCUGAGGCGCGAAAGCCAGGGGAGCGAACGGGAUUAGAUACCCCGGUAGUCCUGGCCUUAAACGAUGGGCACUAGGUAGUGGGCUCGACCUGGGCGCACUGCCGCAGCGAAAGUCAUUAGUGCCCCGCCUGGGGAGUAUGGUCGCAAGGCUGAAACUCAAAGGAAUUGACGGGGGCUCACACAAGCGGUGGA
RNAcentral lists this ribosomal RNA (867 nucleotides) under uncultured Planctomycetota bacterium. RNAcentral describes it as "bacterial SSU rRNA". It matches the Rfam family "Bacterial small subunit ribosomal RNA", at positions 58 to 936 of the family's 1533-position model. The record is from RNAcentral. Lineage: Bacteria; Pseudomonadati; Planctomycetota.